AAGUCGUAACAAGGUUUCCGUAGGUGAACCUGCGGAAGGAUCAUUAAAGAAUUCCGGCUUCGCGGCCAAGUUCUCACCCUUUGUAUACCGAAAUAGUCUUUUGGAGGCCCCCGCAUUUUCUUGGGGCCCUGCCAGAGGUUAUAAACCCUAGAAUCUCUGCUGUCUGAGUACUAUGCAAUAGUUAAAA
This 187-nucleotide unclassified non-coding RNA is filed under the name plant metagenome. RNAcentral describes it as "partial contains small subunit ribosomal RNA and internal transcribed spacer 1". The stretch from base 1 to 46 matches the Rfam family "Eukaryotic small subunit ribosomal RNA", at positions 1786 to 1831 of the family's 1831-position model. The record is from RNAcentral.